GGAGAUUUAGCUCAGUGGUAGAGCGCUUGCAUAGCAAGCACAAGGCCCUGGGUUCGGCCCCCAGCUCUCCA
Rattus norvegicus (Norway rat) is the source of this 71-nucleotide non-coding RNA. The record is from Rfam. NCBI's taxonomy places the organism in Eukaryota, Metazoa, Chordata, Mammalia, Rodentia, Muridae.